CCUACGGGUGGCAGCAGUGAGGAAUAUUGGUCAAUGGGCGUACGCCUGAACCAGCCAAGUCGCGUGAGGGAAGACUGCCCUAUGGGUUGUAAACCGCGUUUGUCAGGGAGCAAGUGGCGCUACGUGUAGCGUUAUCGAGAGGACCUGAAGAAAAAGCAGCGGCUAACGCCGUGCCAGCAGCCGCGGAAAGAAGGAGGAUGCGAGCGUUAGCUGGAUUGAUUGGGUUGAAAGGGUGCGUAGGCGGAAUGCCAAGUCCGCGGUAAAAUCGCGGGGAUCAACCUCGCUCCGCCUUUGAAACUGGCGUUCUUGAGUGGGCGAGACGUAUGCGGAAUGCGUGGUGUAGCUGUGAAAUGCCUAGAUAUCACGCAGAACUCCGAUUGCGAAGGCAGCAUACCGGCGCCCAACUGACGCUGACGCACGAAAGCGUGGGUAUCGAACAGGAUUAGAUACCCGGGUAGUC
Molecule: ribosomal RNA, 460 nt
Filed under: uncultured bacterium
Lineage: Bacteria
Description: partial 16S ribosomal RNA
Rfam family: Bacterial small subunit ribosomal RNA
Source: RNAcentral